ACCAUCCGGUAUCUAUCCAGAGCAUACUAUAUGGUCAGCAGCAGGCUCGGGUCUGUGGGAUAAAAAUGCGAUAGACAGUAGUUUAUACAGUGCUCAGUCUGCCCCAAGCACUGGUCUAAGUGCCUUCCAUGCAGGAACUGAUCUGAUCCUAGUAGCAGCCAUGGGAGAUUCAAGACUCAAGAAGCUUAAUGAACCCCAAGCAGGAUAAAAUUAAAGAAAACCACACAUAGACCCAUCAUAAUCGAAUUGGUGAAAAUUAAGGUGAAGAAAAGCCUUUGAAAGCAGCUAGAGGAAAAACUACACUUUACACACAAAGGAACAAGAAUUCUAAUGCCAGGAAAUUUUUCAUUGGAACCCCGAAGGUCAGAAGACAGUGGAACAUCAUUUUUAAAGUGCUGAAAGAAAAGCACCAUCAACCCAGAAUUCUAUAGCCAGCAAAAAUAUCCUCCAGGUAUGAAGUCAAAAUGAAGCUAUUUUCACAUGAAGGAAAACUAAGACAGUUUGUCACAAGAAUACCUGUAUUGUAAGAAUUGUUAAAGGAAAUUCAUCAUGUUGAAGGAGAAUGAUAACAAAACACAGCUGGGUCUUGAGGAAUGAAGGAAGAAAACCAGAAAGGAACAGAAACAAAUAACUGGAUCUCUCUAGUGUCUAAAUGGAUCCCAUCUGCUUUUGCAAUCAAUCUGUUGGGAUAUGCUGUUUUGGAUGAAAUAUGUGAAGGAAGUCCAGCUCCAUCCAAAUGUGUAGGUAGGAGUUUUUAAUCGGUUUUAUCAGAAUGUGGCUAUUCAGUUUUGAUAUUACACUAAAACUCAAAAAAGGACAGUUUCUUCUUUUACAUUUUUAAAAGUUUAUUUAUUUCUAUUG
Acinonyx jubatus (cheetah) is the source of this 861-nucleotide long non-coding RNA. RefSeq lists it as uncharacterized. NCBI's taxonomy places the organism in Eukaryota, Metazoa, Chordata, Mammalia, Carnivora, Felidae. The transcript has 3 exons. The record is from RefSeq and is a predicted model, not a curated record.